AACAUCAGGGUGUGAAAAAGGAGAGUGAUUGACAGCAGCUCGGUGGCAAAGGAAAAGAAAAAACCAAAAGAAAAAAAGAAAGAAAUCACCACAAAGAUCAAAGAGCAGAUGAGAAGUCACAUGACUCCAAUAUGCAAACAUCGACGGCGGGGACAAAAAGCCAGCCUGAUAGCAAAGUGAGAACAUUUAGUUGCCUGCAGCCAGAAGCAUUGGAAUGGAAAGAACCCACUGCACACCAGCAAUAAUCAAUCAACAAUCAUCAAUCAUCAAUCAUCAAUUAUCAAUCAUCAACAGAUAUUGAGAGAAGCCUUAAACAGAUAAAAGACACCUCCCACCCCCGCUGCCCUGACCAUGGCGAUGGCGAUGGCGAUGGAGACGCAAGCAGGAAGUGGGUGUUGGAGGUGAGGGUUAGUGAUGUCACCCCAAAGAAGACAAAGAACAACAUCAAGCACACCCGUGUGUCACCUGUUGUCGUACUGCGGGAGCGGAGAGGAAAAACUGCGGGAUGGACGACAACACAACUGUGUCACAUGACGUAGUUCCGGUUUAAGGCGUAAGACUGGAAUGUUCCAGAAGGAGGAUGUGGAGGUACGUACCAAGUCCCUGCUGGGUGCCAAUAUCUCCUCGAUCAUCAUGCUGUCCCGCGUGAAGGAGCUGCGGUUGAGAGUGUUGGACCUAUCAGAACUGAAGGAACGCAGGCUUGGUGCAGGUCACGCGUUACCAUGACAACAAUG
Molecule: long non-coding RNA, 734 nt
Organism: Nerophis ophidion (straightnose pipefish)
Lineage: Eukaryota; Metazoa; Chordata; Actinopteri; Syngnathiformes; Syngnathidae
Exons: 3
Source: RefSeq, a predicted model, not a curated record